Molecule: ribosomal RNA, 254 nt
Filed under: uncultured bacterium
Lineage: Bacteria
Description: partial 16S ribosomal RNA
Rfam family: Bacterial small subunit ribosomal RNA
Source: RNAcentral
GACGAACCGUGCGAACGUUAUUCGGAAUCACUGGGCUUAAAGCGCGUGUAGGCGGACGUGCGCGUCUGAUGCUGAAAUCCCCCGGCUCAACCGGGGAACGGGCGCGGAUACGGCACGUCUGGAGGGGCGUAGGGGGACCUGGAACUUCCGGUGGAGCGGUGAAAUGCGUUGAGAUCGGAAGGAACGCCCGUGGCGAAAGCGAGGUCCUGGACGCCUACUGACGCUGAGACGCGAAAGCCAGGGGAGCGAACGGG